GACUGAGAGGUUGAACGGCCACAUUGGGACUGAGACACGGCCCAGACUCCUACGGGAGGCAGCAGUGGGGGAUAUUGCGCAAUGGGGGCAACCCUGACGCAGCAACGCCGCGUGAAGGAUGAAGUUUUUCGGAAUGUAAACUUCUUUCAGCAGGACGAAAAAUGACGGUACUUAAUGAAUAAGCUCCGGCUAACUACGUGCCAG
Molecule: ribosomal RNA, 204 nt
Filed under: uncultured Oscillospiraceae bacterium
Lineage: Bacteria; Bacillati; Bacillota; Clostridia; Eubacteriales; Oscillospiraceae
Description: partial 16S ribosomal RNA
Rfam family: Bacterial small subunit ribosomal RNA
Source: RNAcentral